UGGGAGAGAGGUCUGGAGGAAGGUGUGGCUGGAACUGCGGCCACAUAUUGCCACCAUGAAGGCACAGUCAAUAAGAAAAUCACGUCAACAGAAAGGAGCACAGCUGAAGCAGUAAAAGGGAGAAAGUGGGCCUGGGGGACACUGUCUGAAUCCCUGGAUGAAGGGAAUAGCGGCCAGCCCACCAUCUGGGCCCCAAACUCGAGUGCUCACCCUGCAACCCUGGUUGGGAUGUCUGUGCUCCGGGCUGCAGACCACAGUGGACCUCUGCACAGACCUGCCCCCACCACCAGCUGGGUGCCUGCUGCUCUGUAGCCCCUGAGAUUCACAGCCUUCCUUCCUCCCCUCCAGCUUUGCAAGAGCACAUUGAACACCACCUCUGUCAUGUCCCAAGCCAGGCACCAAGGUCACAGCAUAUUCCACUCCUCCCACCCUUCAAAGUGCUCACAGGUUGCUGGAAGAGAAACAAGUAAACAGAUCUUCAGGACACAGGGGACAGCGCACAAUGACAGAGGUAAAUCCAGGGAAUGGGCAACCA
This 535-nucleotide long non-coding RNA is filed under the name Rhinopithecus bieti (black snub-nosed monkey). Its description in RNAcentral is "lncRNA (ENSRBIG00000046779.1)". Lineage: Eukaryota; Metazoa; Chordata; Mammalia; Primates; Cercopithecidae. The record is from RNAcentral.